Molecule: non-coding RNA, 72 nt
Organism: Macaca mulatta (Rhesus monkey)
Lineage: Eukaryota; Metazoa; Chordata; Mammalia; Primates; Cercopithecidae
Source: the annotation of a RefSeq genome assembly
GGGGGCAUAGCUCAGUGGUAGAGCGCGUGCUUAGCAUGCACGAGGUCCUGGGUUCAACUCCCAGUACCUCCA